GACGUAGGGCGCGAGCGUUGUCCGGAUUUAUUGGGCGUAAAGAGCUCGUAGGCGGUUUGUCGCGUCUGCCGUGAAAGUCCGGGGCUCAACUCCGGAUCUGCGGUGGGUACGGGCAGACUAGAGUGAUGUAGGGGAGACUGGAAUUCCUGGUGUAGCGGUGAAAUGCGCAGAUAUCAGGAGGAACACCGAUGGCGAAGGCGGGUCUCUGGGCAGUAACUGACGCUGAGGAGCGAAAGCGUGGGGAGCGAACAGG
Molecule: ribosomal RNA, 253 nt
Filed under: uncultured bacterium
Lineage: Bacteria
Description: partial 16S ribosomal RNA
Rfam family: Bacterial small subunit ribosomal RNA
Source: RNAcentral